CUGGCGGCGUGCCUAACACAUGCAAGUCGAGCGAUCUCUCGGAGAAGAGCGGCGGACGGUGAGUAACGCGUGGGUAACCUGCCUCAUACACAUGGAUAACAUACCGAAAGGUAUGCUAAUACAGGAUAAUAUAAGAGAUUCACAUGGAUUUCUUAUCAAAGCUCCGGCGGUAUGAGAUGGACCCGCGUCUGAUUAGCUAGUUGGUAAGGUAACGGCUUACCAAGGCGACGAUCAUUAGCCGACCUGAGAGGGUGAUCGGCCACAUUGGAACUGAGACACGGUCCAAACUCCUACGGGAGGCAGCAGUGGGGAAUAUUGCACAAUGGGCGAAAGCCUGAUGCAAGCAACGCCGCGUGAGUGAUGAAGGCCUUCGGGUCGUAAAACUCUGUCCUCAAGGAAGAUAAUGACGGUACUUGAGGAGGAAGCCCCGGCUAACUACGUGCCAGCAGCUGC
RNAcentral lists this ribosomal RNA (453 nucleotides) under uncultured bacterium. RNAcentral's name for it is "bacterial SSU rRNA". It matches the Rfam family "Bacterial small subunit ribosomal RNA", at positions 36 to 518 of the family's 1533-position model. The record is from RNAcentral.